This 867-nucleotide long non-coding RNA is filed under the name Androctonus crassicauda. The record is from RNAcentral. Lineage: Eukaryota; Metazoa; Arthropoda; Arachnida; Scorpiones; Buthidae.
CCUGAAAUGUUUUUGGAUCAUGGGACACAGUUUGUCUGAUCCUGUCAUUUAUCCCAUUGAGGAAUUGGACUUACAAUCUUUCAUCCAUUUUCUUCUUUUGGCACUGUUCUAUCACCAAUCGCUCCUGUUCAUUUGCACUCACUAUCUCGAUUUGUGUUUCUGCUGCAAGGGAUUGUAGUCUAAUUGCAAACAUUUGUAUAUCCUCGCUCCUUUGUUGUGUGCAAGCAUAUAAAUGUUGUAACCUGAUUAUAUAUGACAAUUUCGCAAAUUGCUUCAGCAUUUGCACUUUAAAAUUCCUAUAAUUCAUUAUAUCUUUGAUUAAAGUUGCACCACACACAUUCUCUCACAAUCCCUGAGAGUUUACAUUUUGCAAUUCCUAAUUUCUGCUACUCUGUCCACAAUGCCAAAGUAGCUAUUUCCUCAAUGGUAUCGAAAUAGCUGUAAUUCACUGUGCUGGUUUCCCUGCGAAGAUGGGGAUCAUUCCCUUGAAAGUAGUGAAUGACCCACCAGAAGCUUACUGUUCAUUUCUACUCUUGUUGUCAAGUCUGCCUCAUCAGUCAUCUUGAAGUAUCAAAUUCAAAUUUGUUAUUCAUAAUCGUUCAUCUGUCCCUCCAAAUCAGUAUCAGAAAUACUUCCAAAAUUACUUCUAUCAAUCCCAUUUGUGAUACCAGUGUGAAGCGUAUGAGACUGAUGGACAAAACAACAGGCAUUGGGCAGUGAAUGGCACGCUGUGGAUACAGAUAGUAAUGAGGCUAAACGUGAAUGACGCAGAGACUAUGAUUUGGAAAACCAAUAGCUUCCUUAUUAGAAUCAUAGAGAGAGAAUUCUUUACAAAUAAGAUCCUGACAAUCUAUAAGAGGAAUAUUU